AAAAUCCGUCGACUUUAGAAAUCGUGAGGGUUCAAGUUUCUAUCCCCA
RNAcentral lists this transfer RNA (48 nucleotides) under Linum tenuifolium. RNAcentral's name for it is "partial tRNA-Leu". The record is from RNAcentral. Lineage: Eukaryota; Viridiplantae; Streptophyta; Magnoliopsida; Malpighiales; Linaceae.